GGGAGUGUAGCUCAGUGACAGAGCUCUUGCCUGACAUGCAAGGGGCCCUAGGCUCAAGCCCCAGUAUUGCAA
RNAcentral lists this transfer RNA (72 nucleotides) under Ictidomys tridecemlineatus (thirteen-lined ground squirrel). Its description in RNAcentral is "Spermophilus tridecemlineatus (thirteen-lined ground squirrel) tRNA". It matches the Rfam family "tRNA". From Rfam's summary of the family: Transfer RNA (tRNA) molecules are approximately 80 nucleotides in length. Their secondary structure includes four short double-helical elements and three loops (D, anti-codon, and T loops). The record is from Rfam by way of RNAcentral. Lineage: Eukaryota; Metazoa; Chordata; Mammalia; Rodentia; Sciuridae.